RNAcentral lists this long non-coding RNA (2586 nucleotides) under Lonchura striata (white-rumped munia). RNAcentral's name for it is "domestica (Bengalese finch) lncRNA (ENSLSDG00000012480.1)". Lineage: Eukaryota; Metazoa; Chordata; Aves; Passeriformes; Estrildidae. The record is from RNAcentral.
UCGCGGGCGGCGCCGCGUUCCCGCCCUACCGGCUGGGCUUCGGCGGCGCGGCCGCGGGGCUGGAGCGCGGCGCCUACGAGCCCUUCGACGUGGCGGGCAAGUUCGGCGGCGCGGCGCGCUUCUCGUACACCUCGCAGCACUCGGACUACGGGCAGCGCUUCCAGCAGCGCAUGCAGACGCACGUUUAGGGCGGGGAGGGCUCCGCGGGUACCUCACGAGCGUCCCCCUGAUAUUCAGGGGUUCGCCCCGAUUUCCCCCCCCGGCCUCUCCUCGGAGCUUCCGUUCGUCGCCCCGGUUCUCUCGCCGGUACGUUCCCGUCCCCGCGGGCGCGGGCAGGGGUCGGCGCCGCGCUCCUCGUGCCCCUUGCGGCCCCGGCGCCGUUCCCGGAGCUUUCCCAGGGAGCAGCUCUGUGCCAGAUCCAGAGGGGCGCGUGAACCCCAAAACCAGCCCCAACCCAAACCGUUCCCACUGGGAUCCGUGUGUUCCCAGAUCCAGAGGGGCGCGUGAGCCCCAAAACCAGCCCAACCCGAACCACUCCCACUGGGAUCCGUGUGUUCCCAGAUCCAGAGGGGCACGUGAACCCCAAAACCAGCCCAACCCAAACCAUUCCCACUGGGAUCCGUGUGUUCCCAAAUCCAGAGGGGCACGUGAACCCCAGAACCAGCCCAACCCGAACCAUUCCCGUUGGGAUCCGUGUGUUCCCAGAUCCAGAGGGGAGACACAAAUCCCAAAAAAACCCAACCCGAAGCAUUCCCACUGGGAUCCGUGUGUUCCCAGAUCCAGAGGGGCACAUGAACCCCAAUACCAGCCCCAACCCGAACCAUUCCCGUUGGGAUCCGUGUGUUCCCAGAUCCAGAGGGGCACAUGAACCCCAAAACCAGCCCAACCCAAACCAUUCCCAUUGGGAUCCGUGUGUUCCCAGAUCCAGAGGGGAGACACAAAUCCCAAAAAAACCCAUCUUGAACCAUUCCCGUUGGGAUCCGUGUGUUCCCAGAUCCAGAGGGGCGCGUGAACCCCAAACCCAGCCCCAUCCCGAACCAUUCCCGUUGGGAUCCACGUGUUCCCAGAUCCACAGGGGAGACACAAAUCCCAAAAAAACCCAUCUCAAAUCAUUCCCAUUCCUCAAAGCAUUCCCACUGGGAUCAGCAUGCUCCCAAAUCCAGAGGGAUGUGCAAAUCCCAGAACCAGCCCCAUCCCAAACCAUUCCCAUUGGGAUCCGUGUGUUCCCAAAUCCAGAGGGAUGUGCAAAUCCCAGAACCAGCCCCAUCCCAAACCAUUCCCGUUGGGAUCCACGCGUUCCCAAAUCCCGAGGGAUGCUCCAAUCCCAGAUCCAGCCGCCUCCCGCACCAUUCCCAUUGGGAUCCGUGUGUUCCCAGAUCCACAGGGGAGACACAAAUCCCAAAAAAUCCCAACCCGAACCAUUCCCAUUGGGACCCGUGCAUUCCCAAAUCCCGAGGGAUGCGCCAAUCCCAGAACCAGCCGCAUCCCGAACCAUUCCCAUUGGGAUCCGUGUGUUCCCAAAUCCAGAGGGGCACACCAAUCCCCAAAAAACCCAUCCCGCACCAUUCCCAUUCCCUGUGCCUUGAUUUUGGGGCCGCCCCUGGCUCAGGGCCGGCUCCCCCCGUUUCCCCUCGGCGCCGGGAAUUUGGGGUUUUCGGGAGCCGCCCCGCACGCACAGCGAUCCCCCGGGAGAGGCAGCGCGGGAUCCCAGAGCUGGGAUCGGGGUCCCCCCUGAACCCCCGCGUUCCCGGGAAUUCCGGGAAUUCCGACCGAAACUUUGGGAUCGGGAGCUCGGCCCUGCCCCGAAUCCCAGUUCCGGGCACCGGGGGGAACCGGGGACCCCAGCGUGGCGUGGGGGAAUUUGGGGGAUGAGUUUUGGAGGGAAUUCCCAGCCCCAAUUCCCAAAUUCCCAAAGGGGUCCCAGUUUGGGAUGGGGGAAUUUUUGGGGGAUGAAUUUUUGGGGGAAUUCCCAGAGGAUUCCCAGCCCCAAUUCGGCAUGGGGGAAUCUGGGGAGGAACAAUUUUGGGGGGAUGAAUUUUGGAGGGAAUUCCCAGCCCCAAUUCCCAAAUUCCUGAAGGGGUCCCAAUUCGGGAUGGGGGAAUUUGGGGAGGAUGAGUUUUGGGGGGAUGAAUUCCUGGCUGAUUCCCAAAAACCCCUCAAGGAUUUGGUACGAGACCCCUGCCCACCCCUCCGGGGGCUGCCUCGGGAUCAGGAUCUUCCCCAAAAUCCCCCAAAUCCCCAAAUUCCCGAAUUCCCAGUGGCCAAUCCCGGUACGAGCCGUGGGAUCUCAUUUCCCUCUGCCGAAACUCCCCAAAACCAACACAGAAGGUCCCGAAAGGCCCAAAGGUGCCUGAAUUCACCCCAAAAGCCCCGAGGGGGGAGGGAAUUCCCGCUCCAGGUGCUGCACCCCAAAUUCCAGAGCAAUAUCCCGCGGGAAAAGGGGGAGCCCCGCCCGGCCACGGGAAGCUUUAACAUUCCAACCCCACUUUGGGGCUGGAAAAUGGAAUUUCCCCCUUUUGUUUUUUAGCACAGGUUGGUUUAGAGACCCUCCCCCGUCCCUUUCCCCCCAAAAUUCCGCCAUUUCUC